Molecule: ribosomal RNA, 431 nt
Filed under: uncultured bacterium
Lineage: Bacteria
Description: partial 16S ribosomal RNA
Rfam family: Bacterial small subunit ribosomal RNA
Source: RNAcentral
AACGAACGCUGGCGGCAGGCUUAACACAUGCAAGUCGAGCGCCCCGCAAGGGGAGCGGCAGACGGGUGAGUAACGCGUGGGAACGUACCUUUUGGUUCGGAACAACUCCGGGAAACUGGAGCUAAUACCGGAUAAGCCCUAACGGGGAAAGAGUUAUCGCCGAAAGAUCGGCGCGCGUCUGAUUAGCUAGUUGGUGAGGUAACGGCUCACCAAGGCGACGAUCAGUAGCUGGUCUGAGAGGAUGAUCAGCCACACUGGGAGUGAGACACGGCCCAGACUCCUACGGGAGGCAGCAGUGGGGAAUAUUGGACAAUGGGAGAAAGCCUGAUCCAGCCAUGCCGCGUGAGUGAUGAAGGCCUUAGGGUUGUAAAGCUCUUUUGUCCGGGAAGAUAAUGACUGUACCGGAAGAAUAAGCCCCGGCUAACUUCGUG